GACGCAGCAACGCCGCGUGUGUGAUGAAGGUCUUCGGAUUGUAAAGCACUUCGACCGGGACGAAAACCCCCAGCCCAACACGCUGGGGCUUGACGGUACCGGGAGAAGAAGCACCGGCUAACUCUGUGCCAGCAGCCGCGGUAAUACAGAGGGUGCAAGCGUUGUUCGGAAUUAUUGGGCGUAAAGCGCGUGUAGGCGGCUUUGCAAGUCGGGUGUGAAAGCCCUCAGCUCAACUGAGGAAGUGCGCCCGAAACUGCAGAGCUUGAGUGUCGGAGAGGGUGGCGGAAUUCCCCAAGUAGAGGUGAAAUUCGUAGAUAUGGGGAGGAACACCGGUGGCGAAGGCGGCCACCUGGACGGUAACUGACGCUGAGACGCGAAAGCGUGGGGAGCAAACAGGAUUAGAUACCCUGGUAGUCCACGCCGUAAACGAUGAGAACUAGGUGUCGUGGGUGUUGACCCCCGCGGUGCCGAAGCUAACGCAUUAAGUUCUCCGCCUGGGAAGUACGGUCGCAAGACUA
This 518-nucleotide ribosomal RNA is filed under the name uncultured Pseudomonadota bacterium. Its description in RNAcentral is "bacterial SSU rRNA". It matches the Rfam family "Bacterial small subunit ribosomal RNA", at positions 385 to 896 of the family's 1533-position model. The record is from RNAcentral. Lineage: Bacteria; Pseudomonadati; Pseudomonadota.